This 473-nucleotide ribosomal RNA is filed under the name uncultured bacterium. RNAcentral describes it as "bacterial SSU rRNA". It matches the Rfam family "Bacterial small subunit ribosomal RNA", at positions 33 to 507 of the family's 1533-position model. The record is from RNAcentral.
GACGACGCUGGCGGCGUGCCUAACACAUGCAAGUCGAGCGGGUUGAAGCGAGAGGUAACUCGAACUUCUACCUAGCGGCGGACGGGUGAGUAACGCGUGGGCAACCUGCCUCAAGGUCUGGGAUAACAGCCCGAAAGGGCUGCUAAUACCGGGUAUGCUUGUGGCCUCGCAUGGGGCUACGAGCAAAGGGGAAACCCGCCUUGAGAUGGGCCCGCGUCCCAUCAGCUAGUUGGUGAGGUAACAGCUCACCAAGGCGACGACGGGUAGCCGGCCUGAGAGGGUGACCGGCCACACUGGGACUGAGACACGGCCCAGACUCCUACGGGGGGCAGCAGUGGGGGAUCUUGCACAAUGGGCGAAAGCCUGAUGCAGCGACGCCGCGUGAGCGAAGAAGGCCUUCGGGUUGUAAAGCUCUGUCUGGAGGGACGAAGGAAGUGACGGUACCUCCGGAGGAAGCCACGGCUAACUACGUG